GAGUGAACGCUGGCGGUAGGCCUAACACAUGCAAGUCGAACGGCAGCACAGUAAGAGCUUGCUCUUACGGGUGGCGAGUGGCGGACGGGUGAGGAAUACAUCGGAAUCUACUUUUUCGUGGGGGAUAACGUAGGGAAACUUACGCUAAUACCGCAUACGACCUACGGGUGAACGCAGGGGAUCUUCGGGCCUUGCGCGAUUGAAUGAGCCGAUGUCGGAUUAGCUAGUUGGCGGGGUAAAGGCCCACCAAGGCGACGAUCCGUAGCUGGUCUGAGAGGAUGAUCAGCCACACUGGAACUGAGACACGGUCCAGACUCCUACGGGAGGCAGCAGUGGGGAAUAUUGGACAAUGGGCGCAAGCCUGAUCCAGCCAUACCGCGUGGGUGAAGAAGGCCUUCGGGUUGUAAAGCCCUUUUGUUGGGAAAGAAAAGCAGCAGGUUAAUACCCCGCUGUUCUGACGGUACCCAAAGAAUAAGCACCGGCUAACUUCGUG
Molecule: ribosomal RNA, 493 nt
Filed under: uncultured bacterium
Lineage: Bacteria
Description: partial 16S ribosomal RNA
Rfam family: Bacterial small subunit ribosomal RNA
Source: RNAcentral